GACGAACGCUGGCGGCGUGCCUAACACAUGCAAGUCGAACGGAACUUCUUUAAAAGAUUUCUUCGGAAUGAAUUUGAUUAAGUUUAGUGGCGGACGGGUGAGUAACGCGUGAGUAACCUGCCUCUGAGAGGGGAAUAACAUUCUGAAAAGAAUGCUAAUACCGCAUAACAUAUAUUUAUCGCAUGGUAGAUAUAUCAAAGAUUUAUCGCUUAGAGAUGGACUCGCGUCCGAUUAGUUAGUUGGUGAGGUAACGGCUCACCAAGGCGACGAUCAGUAGCCGGCCUGAGAGGGUGAACGGCCACAUUGGGACUGAGACACGGCCCAAACUCCUACGGGAGGCAGCAGUGGGGAAUAUUGCACAAUGGGGGAAACCCUGAUGCAGCGACGCCGCGUGAGUGAUGAAGUAUUUCGGUAUGUAAAACUCUAUCAGCAGGGAAGAUAAUGACGGUACCUGACUAAGAAGCACCGGCUAAAUACGUGCCAGCAGCCGACGG
RNAcentral lists this ribosomal RNA (494 nucleotides) under uncultured bacterium. RNAcentral's name for it is "bacterial SSU rRNA". It matches the Rfam family "Bacterial small subunit ribosomal RNA", at positions 28 to 520 of the family's 1533-position model. The record is from RNAcentral.